AGAGUUUGAUCAUGGCUCAGGAUGAACGCUAGCGGCAGGCCUAACACAUGCAAGUCGAGGGGUAACAUAGAAAAGCUUGCUUUUCUGAUGACGACCGGCGCACGGGUGCGUAACGCGUAUACAACCUACCUUUUAGCGGGGAAUAGCCCAGGGAAACUUGGAUUAAUGCCCCAUAGUAUAUGGACUUCUCCUGAGGUUUAUAUUAAACAUUUAUGGCUAUUAGAUGGGUAUGCGUCCUAUUAGUUAGUUGGUAAGGUAACGGCUUACCAAGGCAGCGAUAGGUAGGGGUCCUGAGAGGGAGAUCCCCCACACUGGUACUGAGACACGGACCAGACUCCUACGGGAGGCAGCAGUGAGGAAUAUUGGACAAUGGGCGAGAGCCUGAUCCAGCCAUGCCGCGUGCAGGAAGACUGCCCUAUGGGUUGUAAACUGCUUUUACAGAGGAAGAACCACCCCCACGUGUGGGGGUUUGACGGUACUCUGCGAAUAAGGAUCGGCUAACUCCGUGCCAGCAGCCGCGGUAAUACGGAGGAUCCAAGCGUUAUCCGGAAUCAUUGGGUUUAAAGGGUCCGUAGGCGGGCAGUUAAGUCAGUGGUG
RNAcentral lists this ribosomal RNA (597 nucleotides) under uncultured bacterium. RNAcentral's name for it is "bacterial SSU rRNA". It matches the Rfam family "Bacterial small subunit ribosomal RNA", at positions 8 to 596 of the family's 1533-position model. The record is from RNAcentral.